Long non-coding RNA from Mustela lutreola (European mink), 780 nucleotides. RefSeq lists it as uncharacterized. NCBI's taxonomy places the organism in Eukaryota, Metazoa, Chordata, Mammalia, Carnivora, Mustelidae. The transcript is spliced from 2 exons. The record is from RefSeq and is a predicted model, not a curated record.
GAUGAGCAACACAAGAACCAACAAAUGAUUAUCAUCAUGUUAUGAUCAUUUAUAAGGGGAAGAAAGAAGCUAAUGUCUAAAAAAAUCUGUUAAACCAAGAACUAUCAAUACAAGCACUUCCUUUAGCGAUACGGAGAUUAUGUUCCUAAAGAAAAGUCGAGAAUUAAAAGGCACAGCACCCUGGCAUGACACUGGGGAGUGCUGAUUUCCAUCCUAAGCUUUUCUUUGUCUUUUAAUCUCGCACAUAUAUCAGUUUAAUGUAAAAAGAAAGAAAGAAAAAGAAAAAGGCAGAAGGAAGCAAGAGAGAGGGAACCCACCGAAGAUGAAGUUGUCGGGCCGGAAGAGGUGCCCGAAAGGCCCAGACCGCACACUGUCCAUGGUGCCAGGCUCCAAGUCCACCAGGGCAGCCCUGGGGACGUAUUUCUGAGCUGGAAGAGAACAAAGCCCACGCCCAAGGUCACUUUCUGGUCUCCAGGGUCAUGGGCUGCCCCACAGUGAGUCCCCCCAGCUGCCCAGAUGGUAGGAAGCAGGGUCUCUUUAGAGACAGAACCUUAGUGCUGGGAGGGGACCGGGGAACACUGUCCCAGCUGAUGCUGUCCCGAUGAGGAAACCAGCCCAAGCAUGAAUGGGCAGAGGAAGUACCAGGAAUAAGCAGGAUGAGAAAUCAGGUCUCCUGACUUCCUGCCUUCUGUAUUUUCCACUUCACCCUGACACCUCUUUCCUGUUGGGAAGCUUUACUUUUUGAGCUCCAUGGAAAUAAACUGUCUCUGUUGCAGCAAA